CACGAAUGAAAAGUAAUCUGAAAAGAGGGAAAGAAGGUGUAUCUCCUAAAAACUCCAACUUCUCUUUAGUCUCACACAAAGUUGACAUCAUCUCCGGUGGCCGGUGUGCAAUUCGCCACCGGUCGCCAUCCCUCUUUUGUUUUAGUUUUUUGGAUGUAUCAUAUUAUCGAUCUCUAGAUCGAAUUACUUUUCCGUUGCGGAUAAACUCUUCGCUUAGGCGACUUUUGAUGUGGUUUAAUAAAUUUCCGGUCGUUUGAUCAGAUCUUAAAUAGCAACCUUUCGCCGUGUUUCUUUUCAAUUCCAAAGAUUAACUGUUUGAAAGCUUCACUCAUCGUAUCAACUGAGCCUCUUUCUAAAAGAAUCAGUCUCUAUCUAUGUUAGCCAUUAAUAGGCGUUAAAGGUAGAGCUUCUUUGAUGGAAGAUGGUCAAGUUAGUAAGGCUUUUUGGGUCACCCUGAAAUAGAUUCAGCAGAGUUGGCGUGAAAACGGUCAGAUGAAGAAUGGCUUUCAUUCUGACCUAAGCUUCCUCCGGAGUAAUAACGGUGAGCGCAGCCUCUUCGAUCAAUUAAUCUUGGUUGGAUGCGAAAUGUAUGGAGUACAAGAAUUAAGCUAUGUGAAGAACUGCUGAGGUCAGCCGGAAGAGCUUCCCGACGGCUCACCGGUGGAGAUAGCUUCAUGCAUAUCUAGAAGCUGACACGUAGCAUUGCCUUUUAUAAAUGCUUAGGCCAUGAUUAACGGGGUAUCUUAGAAGGGGUUUUUAGUUUAAUUAUGAAUUAAAGAAAAUGAAAAAUGGCAAUUACUAUAAGCUACGUAUCUUAAUUAGGUUACACAAGAUACGUCUCUUGUAUGCCGCACGUAGUUUUGAUACGUCUCUUCCUCUUCAUCUGUCUACAAGAUCGCUUCCGGCAUCGCUACCGUACGAGUCGACUCUUCCGCGAUCGAGAGAUUCACCACUAAACCCCUCCCAAGGAAGCUCCUUUGGUCUCCCUCAAGGUCUAACCAACGAAGCGAGGCUUUGUCCUACGGUGCGGCCGGGAUGUUGAGCCGGAGUGGAAGCGAGGAUUGUGGUGGCGCGGUGGUUGAUUGGUUGCUGCAGACGGUGACAACAACACCGACAGUCUUCGAACCCAGUUGUCAUCUCUAAAUACGAAACCUUUAAGGUUUCACAGCACUGGGCAAACACACACUCCGUAGAAAAAGAUAUAAGCUUUUGUGUAUCUUUCGAGCCUCCGAAUCAUCUUUAAACGUAUGGCACCAGAUGUUAGCUUUGGAUAUGUUGAUGUCAGGAGAAAGAAAGUAGAGAUUGCAGGAUUUGUCAUCUUCCUUUCGAGAAGAUGGUUCUAAUGAAUAAGAAGAAGAAAAAAAAAAGCAAGAGAGGGUGAAGGUAAAGAUGAAGAAGAAGAGGAAGAAGAAGAAGAGCAAUUGGGUUGCCUUUAAAAUUGGAUUGCUCUUGUAAAGGUGAUUUGGAUGUAGCUCACAGUAAGUGUGCUGAAACUCGAUUCAAGAUCAAAGAAACAUGACAUGUGAGAUAUGUGGCGCAAUGGCUAAAAACGUUGCUGGCGAACAGUCAAACCAAGAGAGCAAUGCCUCUGCCCAUUCACAAACAACUGCAGGACAAACUCAGACAGAGAUACGGGGAACGUGGCAUGGUCGCUGUGUUAUGAACUUCUUACUUGCUGCUAUGAUAUUUGCCUUCAUUGUUACUUGUUUUUUAUUUAGAACUCCUAGAUAGGAGACUAUCAUUAGAGACUCAAAAUCAAGACAUCAUUUAACUAAGGUUCUUAAUUAGUUUUAA
Long non-coding RNA from Brassica oleracea var. oleracea, 1794 nucleotides. RefSeq lists it as uncharacterized. Lineage: Eukaryota; Viridiplantae; Streptophyta; Magnoliopsida; Brassicales; Brassicaceae. The record is from RefSeq and is a predicted model, not a curated record. The transcript has 3 exons.